Molecule: long non-coding RNA, 739 nt
Organism: Bombus impatiens (common eastern bumble bee)
Lineage: Eukaryota; Metazoa; Arthropoda; Insecta; Hymenoptera; Apidae
Exons: 2
Source: RefSeq, a predicted model, not a curated record
UGGAAGCUUGAAUCCUUGAGAAGAACACACUUGUCAGGAUUUCUAGAAUCAACAACGCGACGCAUAUACUUGGUCGAGGCUUUAUUUUUAACCAGGCAUGCCGCGAAUGCAGGAAUUAGUUGAACAUCAGCGCUGGACCAUCUCGGACGUGUUCGGAACACGUUCGAACAUCACGUAAAUUUAGUUUGCAUGCCCCAUCUUCUCUAAUGUCACAAUCAUUGUACAAUUCAAAAUGUCCCGACGAAGUAAACAGGGUUUCAAACGCAAUUAGCUAAUGUAUAACAUAGACAGGCAUGAGACGAGAAGAAAUAUGAUCCGCUGAAAUAACGAUAAGCAGUGCACAGUCUUCUCCUCUGUUCCGGUUUCGGGAAACUUUUGCACGUUACAUGACCCGAAGUGAGUUCCUUGUUCACCGGGGGUGGAUAGAAGCCGGAUGAGGAAGAUUGUAAACGAGUUUUAACCACUUCUAAAGGGCAGGUAACUAUCGCACCGGUCGUCCCAGCCACUCUGUGAAACAAAAAAUCCAAUUAAUAAGAAAUGAAUGAAGAGAUCAACAGGAAAUUGAUACGAAAGGUCGAUAAAUUGAAAUAAAGGACAAAAUUGUAUACGUAAAAAACUAUCUUUUCUCAGACAUUUCGUCUAAUAUAUGUAUGUAACACUACGAUGUUAAUACGUAUGUAUAUAUGAUGACAAAUUAUUUGUAGCAUUAUUCGAUGGAAUUAUAUCACUAAAAUAUCAA